Molecule: long non-coding RNA, 1354 nt
Organism: Sapajus apella (tufted capuchin)
Lineage: Eukaryota; Metazoa; Chordata; Mammalia; Primates; Cebidae
Exons: 3
Source: RefSeq, a predicted model, not a curated record
AGCAGGAAGGAAGAGAGAAUUCCUUAUUGCUCUAGGUAUCCUAUAGAAUAAAAUGAAAAUAUACAGAUAUGUUGCUCAAAUCCAUUAUGCAGGCACCUCUUUACUUUGCUACCCACCAUCUCCCUUGGCAAGAAGAUCAAGAAGGCACCCUUUCCACUAAGUUGCUCCAGUCCUCUUGUUAUCCCCUUUCUGAAACAAACAAACAAGCAGACGCACCUUUCUUGGCCAUCCCAAACCACUGUCUUCAUGCCUCUAAGACCCUGUAGAUUUCACUGAAGGUGUAGCUUUUAUGAUAAAUUUUAUUAUUCUUUAUUUUAUUCUGAUACUGUUUGUGUUUGUGUUUAUAUGUCCUGCAUGCCAAGCUAGGUGUUGUAUUGCCUGAGAUGGUGUCUAGAUCCUGGCACCCUCAAUGGCUAAUACACUGCUCUCUGUUCAUUCAUAUUGAUCAACACUUUCAUUAGGUCUGUGAUGUUCUUACUGGUUAUCAUGCUAGGCCUGAGGAUGUCACGGGUGAAUAAAACAUUAUCUACUCUCCUCGAAGUUAUAGCUUAUUGAAGAAGAAAGAUGUGGAUUGUUAAAGCUGCGGGAUGUGUGGCAGCUAGGAUGUGCCAGAACAUAGCUAUCAUUGGUUCAUUUGAGGGAAAACAAAUCACUAGCGAUGUGAUCUGUUUCUAAAUGUCAAAUGCUUUGUGUCCACUGAAGGAGAGAGGAAGCCAAGAAGGAAGUGAGAUGGAAUCCUGACAUCAGAGUGUCCAGGAGCUGGACUUCAAGCGAAUAAAACAUUCUAGAAUGGAAGAAUAUUUUAAGCAAAUUGCAGUGUUCCCUUCCAAUAAAUGCAAGCCAACUUGAACUGAUCCAGCAAUACCACCCAGGCAGCCAUCAUUUCUAAAACUCAGUUUCAUGAACAUGCUUUCAAAAGGAAAUCUGUUUCCAAUUUCAAAAGGAAUGUGGUUUCAAAAGGAAAAUUCUCUACAGCAUUCUUAUUUGAUGUAUACCUAGUGAAAAGAUAUAUCAUAUCUUGGUUAUUAAUCCUCCAGAAAGACAGCCCUUCUCCUUAGAAAUAAACAAAUGAAAUGGCAAAAUGGCUGACCAUGGUGUGGAAAUGAUUCUCAGGUGUGCUGAUGGUUUGGAGUUCCUUUUUCUCUUUCUUGCAUAUUGUCCCUACUAGAAAUACUGUAGAUUCUGCUCAGACAAUAACUAUCAUAGCUAUCAAGCUUUCUGGUUCUUAUAUAUACAAAUUUUUUAAUAUGGAAGGUCACAGUAUCUAAAUAUUUCUUUGCUUUUACAAAACCAAAUUUCAUAAUCUGGCCAAAACCCUGCCAAUAGUCUUAACCCAGUAGGAAAGUAUGUUGUU